UUGAUAGGCCGGGUGUGUAAGCGCAGCGAUGCGUUGAGCUAACCGGUACUAAUGACCCGUGAGGCUUAACCUUACAACGCCAGAGGCGUUU
This 91-nucleotide ribosomal RNA is filed under the name Pantoea sp. WMus005. Its description in RNAcentral is "partial 23S ribosomal RNA". The stretch from base 1 to 73 matches the Rfam family "Bacterial large subunit ribosomal RNA", at positions 2853 to 2925 of the family's 2925-position model. Lineage: Bacteria; Pseudomonadati; Pseudomonadota; Gammaproteobacteria; Enterobacterales; Erwiniaceae. The record is from RNAcentral.